GGGGAGAAGGGAAGAAGUAAAAAGUCUCAGCCCAGGAAGACUCCAGACUGAAACAUUCCCACUCUCUCCAAGACUGUCUCAGAAGCAAGGAACAGUGCUUCCUGCUUCCCAGGACAAGCAGCUGAUAAGGUCACCGUAUUCAUGGUCUACUAGCUAUAGACUUCCUGAGAGGAAGAAGAUCCAGUCUGGCUGCAGUGGCUUUGACAAGCAGGUCUGCCAGCUGAUGCCUCACACAAGACCAUGGUACAGCCCUGAGCAGAGGACAGCCUAUAUAAAGUCAGUCCUCCAGAGCCCCACCAACCUCAGUCACUACAGUGUGUAACACCUGUCUAUACCUACCACUGACGAUGCUUGCAAGGACCCUGAAUGGACCUUAGGAUCCUGUGGAAAGGCCAGAAAAGCUGUGGCUGAAUAGCCUCUGAACAGGCUUGCAACUGUCCCUCACUGGUGUCCUUGACUCCUCCAAAAAGCUCAGCAGAGGACAACUGAAGGCCAAGCUGAGUCCAGUUUCCUGGACUAGAAUAGCCUAGCAGAAGGAACAGGCUCAGAAAGCUGGAGAGAACCAUCAUUACCUAUCAUAGCCUGGUUCCGGAACACCCGGGCUGAGUGGAGGUGCUGAGCUCUGAGAGAUGGAUCAAGCUAGGCCUGGAGGGAUUAAAGAAGGAACACAGGCCAACACCACAGCUCUGCUGGUAAAGCCAUUUGCUGCCAAGCCUGUGACUCAUCCCUGAGACCCACUGUCCCUGACCUCCAUGCCCACCCACCACCCCAGUGCGCGCACGCAC
This 785-nucleotide long non-coding RNA is filed under the name Mus spicilegus (steppe mouse). RNAcentral describes it as "lncRNA (ENSMSIG00000031287.1)". The record is from RNAcentral. Lineage: Eukaryota; Metazoa; Chordata; Mammalia; Rodentia; Muridae.